GGUCGGCUGGUGUAGUGGUUAUCACGUUUGUCUCACACACAAAAGGUGCCAGGUUCGAUCCCUGGGUCGAUCA
This is a transfer RNA of Podospora anserina, 73 nucleotides long. It matches the Rfam family "tRNA". Rfam says of the family: Transfer RNA (tRNA) molecules are approximately 80 nucleotides in length. Their secondary structure includes four short double-helical elements and three loops (D, anti-codon, and T loops). Further hydrogen bonds mediate the characteristic L-shaped molecular structure. tRNAs have two regions of fundamental functional importance: the anti-codon, which is responsible for specific mRNA codon recognition, and the 3' end, to which the tRNAs corresponding amino acid is attached (by aminoacyl-tRNA synthetases). tRNAs cope with the degeneracy of the genetic code in two manners: having more than one tRNA (with a specific anti-codon) for a particular amino acid; and 'wobble' base-pairing, i.e. permitting non-standard base-pairing at the 3rd anti-codon position. The record is from Rfam. Lineage: Eukaryota; Fungi; Ascomycota; Sordariomycetes; Sordariales; Podosporaceae.